UACGGGGGGGGCAAGCGUUGUUCGGAAUUACUGGGCGUAAAGGGCUCGUAGGCGGCCAACUAAGUCAGACGUGAAAUCCCUCGGCUUAACCGGGGAACUGCGUCUGAUACUGGAUGGCUUGAGUUUGGGAGAGGGAUGCGGAAUUCCAGGUGUAGCGGUGAAAUGCGUAGAUAUCUGGAGGAACACCGGUGGCGAAGGCGGGUCUCUGGGCAACAACUGACGCUGAGGAGCGAAAGCGUGGGGAGCGAACAGG
This 253-nucleotide ribosomal RNA is filed under the name uncultured bacterium. RNAcentral describes it as "partial 16S ribosomal RNA". It matches the Rfam family "Bacterial small subunit ribosomal RNA", at positions 524 to 776 of the family's 1533-position model. The record is from RNAcentral.